CCCCUCCAGAGACGGACAGUAAUGUCCGCCGCUGGAGGAGCAGGCUCGCAAGGGAGCGGUAUCGGAGGUCUGUUAAAGACCUCCGAUACUGCUCCCUUGUGAUCCGCGCGGCAACAGCUGCUCUGCGCCCACCGCUGUCCGUGCCCUCUGACCCGGAAGAAGACAGAAGAACUAAAGAAGAGGAGCGAAGAGAAGAAAAA
Spea bombifrons (plains spadefoot toad) is the source of this 200-nucleotide long non-coding RNA. RefSeq lists it as uncharacterized. NCBI's taxonomy places the organism in Eukaryota, Metazoa, Chordata, Amphibia, Anura, Pelobatidae. The record is from RefSeq and is a predicted model, not a curated record. The transcript has 3 exons.